RNAcentral lists this ribosomal RNA (502 nucleotides) under Cronobacter sakazakii. RNAcentral's name for it is "bacterial SSU rRNA". It matches the Rfam family "Bacterial small subunit ribosomal RNA", at positions 162 to 659 of the family's 1533-position model. Lineage: Bacteria; Pseudomonadati; Pseudomonadota; Gammaproteobacteria; Enterobacterales; Enterobacteriaceae. The record is from RNAcentral.
GCUAAUACCGCAUAACGUCUACGGACCAAAGUGGGGGACCUUCGGGCCUCAUGCCAUCAGAUGUGCCCAGAUGGGAUUAGCUAGUAGGUGGGGUAACGGCUCACCUAGGCGACGAUCCCUAGCUGGUCUGAGAGGAUGACCAGCCACACUGGAACUGAGACACGGUCCAGACUCCUACGGGAGGCAGCAGUGGGGAAUAUUGCACAAUGGGCGCAAGCCUGAUGCAGCCAUGCCGCGUGUAUGAAGAAGGCCUUCGGGUUGUAAAGUACUUUCAGCGGGGAGGAAGGUGUUGUGGUUAAUAACCGCAGCAAUUGACGUUACCCGCAGAAGAAGCACCGGCUAACUCCGUGCCAGCAGCCGCGGUAAUACGGAGGGUGCAAGCGUUAAUCGGAAUUACUGGGCGUAAAGCGCACGCAGGCGGUCUGUUAAGUCAGAUGUGAAAUCCCCGGGCUCAACCUGGGAACUGCAUUUGAAACUGGCAGGCUUGAGUCUCGUAGAGGGG